GAUGAACGCUGGCGGCGUGCCUAAUACAUGCAAGUCGAGCGAACAGACGAGGAGCUUGCUCCUCUGACGUUAGCGGCGGACGGGUGAGUAACACGUGGAUAACCUACCUAUAAGACUGGGAUCACUUCGGGAAACCGGAGCUAAUACCGGAUAAUAUAUUGAACCGCAUGGUUCAAUAGUGAAAGACGGUUUUGCUGUCACUUAUAGAUGGAUCCGCGCCGCAUUAGCUAGUUGGUAAGGUAACGGCUUACCAAGGCAACGAUGCGUAGCCGACCUGAGAGGAUGAUCGGCCACACUGGAACUGAGACACGGUCCAGACUCCUACGGGAGGCAGCAGUAGGGAAUAUUCCGCAAUGGGCGAAAGCCUGACGGAGCAACGCCGCGUGAGUGAUGAAGGUCUUCGGAUCGUAAAACUCUGUUAGUAGGGAAGAACAAAUGUGUAAGUAACUAUGCACGUCUUGACGGUACCAAAACAGAAAGCCACGGCUAACUACGUG
Molecule: ribosomal RNA, 497 nt
Filed under: uncultured bacterium
Lineage: Bacteria
Description: partial 16S ribosomal RNA
Rfam family: Bacterial small subunit ribosomal RNA
Source: RNAcentral